Molecule: non-coding RNA, 480 nt
Filed under: Pan troglodytes (chimpanzee)
Lineage: Eukaryota; Metazoa; Chordata; Mammalia; Primates; Hominidae
Source: RNAcentral
GGAGAUAUUUCUCAAAAGACUCCUCUGCGGGAGAGGAGAAUAGCUGUACUCUAAGCAGUUCGCAGGGAGCAUCUUUCAGCAGCUGAAACAGCUUUGCGGCCUUGCUGUAAUGAAGAUCUGCCAGCACCCGGUGUUGUUUCCUAAGGUGUUCAUCACCAACCUAGAACCAAACCAAAACAAGCAACAAAUCCUUCACGAGAAAGAAAGAAAACAACUGUGUAAGCAGACAUCAGUGUAAACCUUAGCACUGUCUCUUGAUGAGAUAAGAGGAGGAUGGCAGUGACAGGAGUGUGGUGGCGAGCCAGUCACCUGCAGUCAACCACGGCUCAUUGCUCUCACCAUGCCUGUUACAUGAAGUUUCAGGCAUCCACUGGGGAUCCUGGAACGCAUCCUCCAAGGAUAAGUGGGGUCUACUGUACAACACUUAAGUAUAACCCUCUUCACUAUUAACCAAAUGAUAUUAAAAUAAGCAAAGAAAAA